Homo sapiens (human) is the source of this 484-nucleotide long non-coding RNA. The record is from Ensembl. NCBI's taxonomy places the organism in Eukaryota, Metazoa, Chordata, Mammalia, Primates, Hominidae.
GGAGUGGGGGGCGGGGCGAGGAGUCUCUUGCUCAGAGCCCCCUAGGGACUGGGACCCGUUGACUCUGAGCUGCUUUUGAGGCUGGAUCAGGUACCAGCGGCCUGGGGGUCGUACAGGAUGGGAGAGGCCGGGGCUUGGGAUGUUGCCAGAUCUACGUUGAAAAGUGAAGCAGGAAGAGAGGCACUGAGGCUGGGCACAUGGGGAAAACCGUGGAGAGCCGGCCUUUGGGGACUAGAAGAGUGGGAACAAUGGUUGACAAAUGGGUUAUCACCGGAGUGGGACUGGUGACUUCAUUAGAAGAGGAAGGAAGACCUGAGCUGGCCUGUGAAUAUGCUCCGCCCCCUGGCCAUGUGACACCUGCGCCACCCUCAGGACUCUGCAGAGUCCCCAGCAGCAAGAAGGCCCUCACCAGGUGCAGCCCCUCAACCUUGGACUUCUCAGCCCCCAGGGCUGUAACAAAUAAAUUCUUUUUUAAAGUAAAUUA